AGGCUAACUUCACAAGCAUCAAGGGACCUGAGCUGCUGACUAUGUGGUUUGGAGAGAGUGAGGCUAAUGUGAGGGAGAUAUUAGAUAAAGCUUGUCAAUUAGCUCCGUGCGUGCUUUUCUUUGACGAGCUUCAUUCAAUUGCAACCCAGGUAAUCUAUGCUCUGUACUAAACUCUUAUUAUGAUCCCUGAUGUUCCACUUAGGGAAUCAAAAUUGUCUUGGAGAGUAACUCAGCUAUCUAUCAGAUCCUAAAUGUCACAUUCCAGCAUGGUCAAAAUCCAUGCAUGUAUGAUUUAUAAGGGAUUUAACUCAGAAUGGUGGUGGCUAAAACUGAGUCAACUUGGAUGAGUUGGCUUGGUGUCAGCAAGUGUUGAUGCCGUUGUUCUAGUUUGCAAUCUCCUCCCAUAGUUGGGGCAACAUAUAGAACUUAUUUCUGUUAAGUUACUUAGUUUCUUCUCAAUUGCCUCAGUAUUUUUUACUUGCUGAUUUGGAUAAGAUUGUCUGUUCAGUGUGCACAGAGAGUUGGUGCAAACACAUCUUCUAAGUCCCACCAUCCAGCAAUUUGUGGGUGGGAAUAUUAGCAUGCAUUUCAAACUUGAGUAUUGAGAAUUCAAAUUUCAAAGUGCCUAUGGAUUCCUGUCAGCUGCCAUUAAAUGGUGGGAGUUGAUGAAUUGUUUGGUCCUUCUAUAUGAUGGUUGGCUUUAAUGUAUAUUUUUUAGUUGUGGCAGUGUAAAUUUUUUAGUCCACAGAAAUCUCAUUAAGGGGCCAAAGCAUUUGGAUAUGUUUGAAGUUGAUUCAUGCUUCCGCUGCCACCAUUUCUAAGACUGAUUGACGCCUCACCUGCACUAGUACCUACAUGGUUUGAAGCUCAUAUUGGAUGAAAAUGGUUGUCAAUCGAAGUCUACGGGCAUGCUCCAUCCACACCGAGAUCCAUCAAAUCAAGUCUGGAUUACCACCUGCAUUGCUUGUAGAGAAUUGACCCAAGACAGUUUUCACACCCCAAUGCACCAUGGUGCCCAUUGCUUAUGUUCUGCUCAUGGAUAAUCUGCUAGGAAUGCUGAGGCGAUUGGACAUGAUGUAGAGAAUGGUCAUGAAUGAAAAUAUAUUUCCCUUUUAUGGAUUUUUGCAAUUCAAUUAAUUAGUGCAUCCAAAUGCAGCCCAAAUGUAGCCAACAUAAAUUCAUUAAUUGGGUUCUUGUUUUCAAUAGGUUUGCUGGUAAUUUACUCAAGGGGCAGACAGUUGGAGUGAUCGGAGCAGAAACUCCUGCAUCAAAAACUAAUGAGAACAGAUGGAUAAGAAUGAAGAGUAGCCACAAGCUCCUUCCCAAUGCUCCAAAGACAAUGGCCAC
Magnolia sinica is the source of this 1347-nucleotide long non-coding RNA. RefSeq lists it as uncharacterized. The transcript has 4 exons. Lineage: Eukaryota; Viridiplantae; Streptophyta; Magnoliopsida; Magnoliales; Magnoliaceae. The record is from RefSeq and is a predicted model, not a curated record.